This 73-nucleotide transfer RNA is filed under the name Apaloderma vittatum (bar-tailed trogon). It matches the Rfam family "tRNA". From Rfam's summary of the family: Transfer RNA (tRNA) molecules are approximately 80 nucleotides in length. Their secondary structure includes four short double-helical elements and three loops (D, anti-codon, and T loops). Lineage: Eukaryota; Metazoa; Chordata; Aves; Trogoniformes; Trogonidae. The record is from Rfam by way of RNAcentral.
GGCCUGUUAGCUCAGUCCAUUAAGUGUGGUUCUGAUAACACCAAGGCCACGGGUUCAAUUCCCGUUCGGUCCC